CAGUAGCCGCGGUAAUACGGAGGGUGCAAGCGUUAAUCGGAAUUACUGGGCGUAAAGCGCACGCAGGCGGUUUGUUAAGUCAGAUGUGAAAUCCCCGAUCUUAACUUGGGAACUGCAUUUGAAACUGGCAAGCUAGAGUCUUGUAGAGGGGGGUAGAAUUCCAGGUGUAGCGGUGAAAUGCGUAGAGAUCUGGAGGAAUACCGGUGGCGAAGGCGGCCCCCUGGACAAGGACUGACGCUCAGGUGCGAAAGCGUGGGGAGCAAACAGGAUUAGAUACCCCAGUAGUCCCUGUCUCUUAUAC
Molecule: ribosomal RNA, 301 nt
Filed under: uncultured bacterium
Lineage: Bacteria
Description: partial 16S ribosomal RNA
Rfam family: Bacterial small subunit ribosomal RNA
Source: RNAcentral